RNAcentral lists this ribosomal RNA (116 nucleotides) under Periophthalmus magnuspinnatus. The record is from RNAcentral. Lineage: Eukaryota; Metazoa; Chordata; Actinopteri; Gobiiformes; Gobiidae.
GAACUGGGCCAUGCAACCAGGUCAAUGCCCAACCUUGUCUUGGAAGCUAAACAGGGUUGGGCCUGGUUAAUACUUGGAUGGGAGACCAGUGGGAAUAGCAAAGGCUGUUGUGUCCU